AUUGAACGCUGGCGGAAUGCUUUACACAUGCAAGCCGAGCGGCAGCGCGGGGGCGAACCCUGGCGGCGAGCGGCGAACGGGUGAGUAAUGUAUCGGAACGUACCCAGUCGUGGGGGAGUAACUAUCCGAAAGGAUAGCUAAUACCGCAUACGACCUGAGGGUGAAAGCGGGGGACCGGUAAGGCCUCGCACGAUUGGAGCGGCCGAUAUCGGAUUAGCUAGUUGGUGAGGUAAAGGCUCACCAAGGCGACGAUCCGUAGCUGGUCUGAGAGGACGACCAGCCACACUGGAACUGAGACACGGUCCAGACUCCUACGGGA
This 319-nucleotide ribosomal RNA is filed under the name uncultured bacterium. RNAcentral's name for it is "bacterial SSU rRNA". It matches the Rfam family "Bacterial small subunit ribosomal RNA", at positions 29 to 346 of the family's 1533-position model. The record is from RNAcentral.